GUCGCCCAUAAUUUGAUUUUCCUUUUAUUUUAUAAUUUAGCACCAUUUUAAAUCCAUAUUCUUUUAAAUUUAAAUUAAUUUCAGGGCCGAUUUUUCUGUUUUCUUAAAACCUCACCCAGGCCCUCAUAUACUAGAAAUUAUUCUGACACAAAAUUAACUAAUUGACCUAUUUCAAUGGUAAAGUGAUUUGAUCGGAGGACUUGUGAGUUGCAUCCUCAUCUAUUCUACUUACUGUUUUCAUUUGCCAUGGGGUAGGACAAAAUAAAUCUGUUAUCGAUUUCAUUUUAC
RNAcentral lists this long non-coding RNA (288 nucleotides) under Mytilus galloprovincialis (Mediterranean mussel). The record is from RNAcentral. Lineage: Eukaryota; Metazoa; Mollusca; Bivalvia; Mytilida; Mytilidae.